GACGAACGCUGGCGGCGCGCCUAACACAUGCAAGUCGAACGGGAUCUUUUAGGAAGCUUGCUUCUUGGCUGAUCUAGUGGCGGACGGGUGAGUAACACGUGAGCAACCUGCCGCGGAGUGGGGGACAACGUCUGGAAACGGACGCUAAUACCGCAUAACAUCACCGGAUGGCAUCAUUUGGUGAUCAAAGGAGAAAUCCGCUUUGCGAUGGGCUCGCGCCCGAUUAGAUAGUUGGUGGGGUAACGGCCCACCAAGUCGACGAUCGGUAGCCGGACUGAGAGGUCGAGCGGCCACAUUGGGACUGAGAUACGGCCCAGACUCCUACGGGAGGCAGCAGUGGGGAAUAUUGGGCGAUGGGCGAAAGCCUGACCCAGCGACGCCGCGUGGAGGAAGAAGGUUUUCGGAUUGUAAACUCCUGUCUUCGGGGAAGAUAAUGACGGUACCCGAGGAGGAAGCCACGGCUAACUACGUGCCAGCAGCCGCGGUAAUAC
Molecule: ribosomal RNA, 491 nt
Filed under: uncultured bacterium
Lineage: Bacteria
Description: bacterial SSU rRNA
Rfam family: Bacterial small subunit ribosomal RNA
Source: RNAcentral